Non-coding RNA from Rhododendron molle, 76 nucleotides. The record is from the annotation of a GenBank genome assembly. NCBI's taxonomy places the organism in Eukaryota, Viridiplantae, Streptophyta, Magnoliopsida, Ericales, Ericaceae.
CACUCAGGGGUUGCCCCAGUGGUAAGGGCGAAUGACUGACUCCCAUUGGUCAGGGGUUCGAUUCCCUACCGGGUGA